This 2429-nucleotide long non-coding RNA is filed under the name Malus domestica (apple). RNAcentral describes it as "long non-coding RNA (MDOM_LNC010610)". The record is from RNAcentral. Lineage: Eukaryota; Viridiplantae; Streptophyta; Magnoliopsida; Rosales; Rosaceae.
AACGAAUGCAUCCAUAUUGUUAAAAAAAUUGUACAUUUUACAUAUGAAAUUUUGCAAAAAAAUUUGGUACAUUUGACAUAUAACAAAGUGGUACAUUUAUAAAGAAAGAAUGAGUACAUUAUAACUAAAUUAGGGUACAAGUAAUUUAAAAAAUAUGAGUACAAAUGAAAUUUUAAAAAUAUAUGGGCAGAAAAAGAAAUUAAUACAUGGGUACAAAUUCAAACUGAAAAGAAAAUGAGUACAAAGUUGAAAAAAAGGGUUACAAAUUAAAAUUGGAUACAAACUAAAAUUAGAAAUAUAUGAUACAAAUUUUAGCCAUAAAUACAAACAUACUUAAUGUAAUGUUUUUAAGACUAAAUGAAUAUUUUGGAAAUUUAAUUUUAUUAUAUUUCCGUAUCAUUUUUUUUAUUUUUUAAAUUUAAAAUUGUUGAUUGAAGUCUAGCAUUUAAAACAAUCUGCCUUGUUCUCUUUUUCAUUUCAACAUUGCUCUAAUUAACAACAUUCAAGGGAUUUAAAUCCAAGAAUUAAUGUAAUUCAAAAUUCUAAUAAAUAUGAAAUUCAGUCAAUCAUCACAUCUAAAAAAAUUAUGAAAUUGUAAAAAUCCCAUUAAUUUAUGGGAUUAUGGAUUUACAAAUCUGAAGGAUUAUGAGAAAUGUAUACAAUAAAAAUCGUCCACAUACUUCUGCAAAAUUUAUAUAUCCCAUCAAAUUUAUCAUGGCUACAUACAAAACAAUGUACCCAUAAGCAUGACCAAAAAAAAAAAAGUACCAAUGAACAUAAAAAAAUUUACGUACCGAAAACACAUAAUACCAAUGGGUACAUACACUGAAUUUACAAGAAAUUUAUAAUUAACAAUGCACCCAAAUAAAAAUAAAAUAUAAGAGCAAAAAACUCUGGGUACAUGUUAAAUCUCAUGGAAACGAAUGAACCACAUUGUUUUGUAAGUAUGCAUAUGGGUACAUAAAAUGCAACAACCAACAUAAAAUUUUCUCCAAAAAAAAAAAACAUUGUACCCGUAUCAAUAUGUAUAACGAAAUUGUAGUCACAAAACACAUUGUACCAAUAUAUAUUUGAGUGAAAUGACAUGUAAAAUAAAAUUGUACCCAUGAAAUAUAAAAGUGUAGCCACCCAUACAUUUAACAAUCAUGAUUAAUACUCAAUAAUAAAGGAAAAUAAAAAAUAAAAAGAAGAAAGACAGUUGACUGCAUAUAUAAUGGUCUAGGGAUGCUGCUGCUAUGGAGAGUCUGGGGGUUUGGCGUCUGGUUGAUGAAGAAGCACAAUGGAUUGAGUUUGGGGUACCGUAGGAUGUGUAUAAGGGAUGAAAGAAUGGAGGAGUUUCAAUGGUUGUUUAUUUAUCUUAAAUUUAGCAAGGGAUGAGAUUUCAAUUAUCAACUAAAAAUCCGGACAAAGCAAUUAAUAUUAAUUACAAAAAAAUUAGGCAAUACUUUAAUUAAGAAUUAACCAAAUAUAGCAAAGUUUUGACAUGUAAAUUUUUAAAUUCUAAAAUAAUGAUGUGGACAAAGCAAAGGACUUUGAUAAAAAAUAAGAAAACAAUAAAGUUUUAAUCAAUGCUAUAUACAAAUUAGGGAUGUGAACUUAAUUUCUUUUAAUUUAAUAUUAUUUUCGAAACUUGGUAGUGAAAUGGAAUAAAACUGGAGUUUGAUGGUUGAUUUAAAAAUCACCUUAAGCAUCGAGGUGUAAAAUGUGGUUCGAUUUGAAAAUCACUUUAAACCUUGAAGUGUAAUAUGUGGUUAAUUAGCUCUUCAGUUUAUCAACAAUAUUUUAUGCAUUGGGGAGAGAUCAAUGAAGAGCAAAUCACAUAGCCGAGCGAAUUCUCGAAACGUUUAAAUUUGGUUAGCUCUUAAAGUUUACCAGUUUCCACCAUAGAUUCGAGAAAUAACUCAGCUGUUCAAUCAGAAAAAAUGGAAAUCGGAUAAUCAGACAACUACCUUUGUUAUUUUUGGUGUUUGGCUCUGAAAGAGUGAAUGACUCACGAAAGAAUGGUAUAAAUCUCUCAUUUUUUUAUUUUAUCUUUUUCUUUGUGUAAGACCUUUUUCUUGCUGUAUUUACUCGACUAUCCUCCACGAUAUCUAUACGAUCAUGAACAAGAUAAAGGUAUGCAAUUUAAUAGUCUUGUGGGCAAAGAUACAUUUCUUCCAUGGCGACAGAUUGUUAGUGUUUAUGGUUAUGUUUCUGAGCUUCAGUGAAGGAUUUAUGGGUUUUGGAUUUCUGGGAAGGUUGCAGAGAAUUGCAGAGAGAACGUAGAAGAUGCUGAUGUGUUGAUGAUGGAUUGUUCUCUCACACAAGAAGUGUGAUAUUACCGUUAGAGGAGAGGAAAGGGAGAUCCUUCUCUCUCUUACAUCAAAACAAAUUCUAGAAUCUAUCACUUAAAGAAAGGAACUCCGCCUGUGUAAGUUUAUCUUACAUUG